CCAACCACUACUCCAUCGUCAACGGGCUCUACCCUCCCCACCAUGCAUCGUCAACAACGUCUUCUUCGACCCCCUCACCGGCGAGAAGUUCACCAUGAAAUCCCACUCGUGAGAUUCUUCCUAUGAUCCUUACAAUACAUCAACCUCAAAGUCUCAAUGUAAACCUCAACAUCGUUGCAAUCGAUGAUUUCACCUUAGUAUGGCACCGAGGAGCAUUGUUGCUGCUAGUUGGUCCAGCUAUCGGAGAGCUUGACCAAGAAGAACCUAUUGUGAGCAAUCACUAUUAGAAAACAGCCUUUUCACGU
RNAcentral lists this unclassified non-coding RNA (305 nucleotides) under uncultured bacterium. Its description in RNAcentral is "contains 16S-23S intergenic spacer region". The record is from RNAcentral.